UCCUCCCACCUCCAGGUAUCUGCUUGUGAGAAGGCCUCUGGAAGACACCGGAAUGGCCUGAGUCCUCGUCUCUUUACCUGUAAACCUGGAGGAGCGAGGAAGUUUAUGCUUCUUGCCACUGAGACGUCUCUGCUCACCUCUGCAUACUGGGGCUAAGGUAAACCUGGAAGGAAGCACUGGACACCUCACUCUCACCCGGACAGAGGAGAGAGGCUCCAGAGAAGGUGGAUCCUACAGAUCCCUAACAGUGACAUCAGCCAGGACUCAAGGGAGAAGACACAGACCAAGAGCAGACAUAGGCUCAGAUCCCGGCCCAUCUUGAAAUUUCUCUGUCUCCUCAAGGAGCUUCCUUGGCAAAACCUAGCCUCCUCUCAGGGGCGCCAGUCAAAAGGAAGACACGUGCACUCUGAAAACAGGAUCCUGGGGGAUCUUUCCUGUUCCCCUUGUUUCUCACUCAGCCUUUGUGUUCUGAAGGAGGAGGAAGACACAAAGGACCUGGCCAGGUUCUCUGUGACUCCCACCCUGAGCUUGGCACCUUCAGGCACUGAACAUGGUCAUGCUGACCCCCAGGCAUCUCCUGGCCCCUUCAUGCCCCAGAGUUUCUGAGGAUAGGCAGCAAGGCUUCACCUGGCCUUGCUGCUGACAACUUCCCCAACAUGCAGAGAAGACCAGCUGCCUGCACCAACCACUGCUCUGCUCCAGGUGGCCACAAGGAAGGCUACAUGGGCCACGGAAAUGUGCUUGGCUCACACUGUCACCAUCACGCCCCCCUCACUUCGGAGUCAUGUUCAGUCAAACAAUGGUCACCUCUCAUGGCCCCCGCCCUGUUCAGCCCCAGGCCACUGCCUUCUGCCUCACACCCCUCAGUCACUGCUCCCACCAGUGCACCAGUGUCCCACAACCUCCUAACAACCACAUCCUACACGGCCCAUUGGUCUGGGACCCUCUUGCUAUCCUGGACAUGUUCUCAGCUGUUAAUGAGAGAAUCCAACUACGGUAGCUUCACCAAGAUGGGGUACAUUUUCUAUUUAAAUGAAGUCCCAUAGGCCAACCAAAGCCACUGUGGUGACUCCAUAGCCACUAGAGACUCAGCCUUCCUUGGCCUUUAGCUCUGCACUCCUUAGUCUGUGAUUUCACUCCGGUAUCCAAAAGGUCCAAGAUGGCUUCAGGAGCUCCAGACUUCACAUUCAAGUCC
This is a long non-coding RNA of Tupaia belangeri chinensis (Chinese tree shrew), 1195 nucleotides long. RefSeq lists it as uncharacterized. Lineage: Eukaryota; Metazoa; Chordata; Mammalia; Scandentia; Tupaiidae. The record is from RefSeq and is a predicted model, not a curated record. The transcript is spliced from 4 exons.